This 834-nucleotide ribosomal RNA is filed under the name uncultured bacterium. RNAcentral describes it as "bacterial SSU rRNA". It matches the Rfam family "Bacterial small subunit ribosomal RNA", at positions 41 to 864 of the family's 1533-position model. The record is from RNAcentral.
GGCGUGCCUUAUCCCAUCCAAGUUGAACGCACAGGGAUGAAGUUUUCUUUUUUGAAGUGAGUGGCGAACGGGUGAUUAACACAUAAAUAAUCUACCUCUAUGAAUGGGAUAACCAUGGAAAACGAUGGCUAAAACCGGAUAGGAUCUUACAAGACAUCUUGAAGGAUUUAAAGGUGGUUUACACUACGUAGAGAUGAGUUUAUGGCGCAUUAGCUAGUUGGUGAGAUAAAAGCCCACCAAGGCGAUGAUGCGUAGCCGACCUGAGAGGGUGACCGGCCACACUGGGACUGAGACACGGCCCAGACUCCUACGGGAGGCAGCAGUAGGGAAUUUUCGGCAAUGGGGGGAACCCUGACCGAGCGACGCCGCGUGAGUGAAGAAGGCCUUCGGGUUGUAAAACUCUGUUAUCGGGGAAGAAAUUCAUAAAGAGGAAAUGCUUUAUGGUUGACGGUACCCGAUGAGGAAGCCACGGCUAACUACGUGCCAGCAGCCGCGGUAAUACGUAGGUGGCGAGCGUUAUCCGGAAUUAUUGGGCGUAAAGGGUGCGUAGGCGGCUAUUUAAGUUUAAGGUUAAAGUUCAGAGCUCAACUCUGUGAUGCCUUAGAAACUGGGUAGCUAGAGUACAGGAGAGGUGAGUGGAAUUCCAUGUGUAGCGGUAAAAUGCGUAGAGAUAUGGAGGAACACCAGUGGCGAAGGCGACUCACUGGCCUGUAACUGACGCUGAGGCACGAAAGCGUGGGGAGCAAAUAGGAUUAGAUACCCUAGUAGUCCACGCUGUAAACGAUGAAUACUAAGUGUUGGAGUUAAAUUCAGUGCUGCAGUUAACGCAAUAAG